AAUCCUCCUCAUGUGGCAAAUCUUUACAGUGAACAAGAGCAUUAUCCCAUAUCAGAACAUGCGGCCUGGAACUAAGGCCUGGCCUGGGACUGGCUUUGCCACCUCCUCACAGGCGAUCUUGGGUCUCCAACUUACUGUAUAACUGGGCCUGAGGAUUACUUCAAACUGUGACUCCCCUGACUCCACCUGAAUGCUGGGACUACCUGUGGCCAUGUGCCUGGUUUCUGUGGUUCUGGGUCUCAAGGCCCAGGCUUCAUAGACGAGGUGAAAAUUGAACUCCCUGAGUUUCAUUGAACUGGGUCCCCAUGAGGUUGGCAGCUGGUUGUUACAUCUGGAUUGAUGCAAGUGCUCCCAUCUCAAGUGCUCCCAUCUCAGCAUCCCUGGCAGGAGGAACUGAAGUGGGGCAUCAAGAGAUGGAACCCAGCCAGCCCCGGGGGAAGGCUCCUGAGAAAAUAAAAGAACGAAAGCAACUUGGCCCCCAGAAUCUGCGUGAGACAGGUGACCUUCGUGGGUAAGAACCCGUUGCUUCCAGUCGGUUUCGCUCUGCCUGCAGUCAGCUCUGGAACUUCCUCCGCUAAUCGGACUGUGGUUGCAGGUGGCACCAGAAUGGAUGGAGAAGCUUGAGUCACAGCCCACCAUGGUGGGCCCCUUCCAAUAACCACCAGGCCCACCUGGAAGUGCAACUCCAGGUCUAGUGGAAGUGAAAGCUGUCACAGGAGCCACCCACGUCUAUUUUGGGGGUUCCGCCUGAGUUCACCUCUCACCUAUCUGAAGGGCUGGCUUAAUGCGGUUUCCUUUCUACCUUUAUAGAAAUUGGCAGAGGCUUCUUCAUGGUCUUACCGUUUGGCCCCAGAAGCUCUGGAGGCACUGCUAUUAUUCAUCAUUGCUAUCCAGAACUGAUAUUUUGCUUCAGGUCUUAGGGCCACUGUUAGAAUGUCAACCAGUCCUGUCUUACUGCCUGGGUGUGGCCUGAGUCUCAGGCUCUUGGGAGUUUCAGAGAUUAGGAAUUCUGACCAAAUAGGAUCCUGCUCAUGGAACAAAUCUUCCCUGCUUCCCAGUGCUCCACGGUAAUUACUGCCCCCCUUUGUCUCCUCUGUCCUUCAGGAAGGGCAAAGCUACAGCUAAAGCAGCUGGAAGGUGAUUGGAAUAUUUAAUGUGGCUUCUAUUUCUGGUUUUCUGACUUUUCUUGCCUGAGGUACAGUGAGAAUGUAAUACAAAAUUUGAUUAGAGGAAAACCAGUGUAACCGGUUCAGCCACUUGAGAUAAAAAUGUGGUAAUAUCGCUUUUAUAUUUCUAAUAAAUGUAUUCC
Molecule: non-coding RNA, 1309 nt
Organism: Cricetulus griseus (Chinese hamster)
Lineage: Eukaryota; Metazoa; Chordata; Mammalia; Rodentia; Cricetidae
Source: RefSeq, a predicted model, not a curated record